GGGAUUCGCUAGCGGCGCCCUCUAGUGGCGUUUCGCGGAGCCUUGGCGGAAACCCUACUGGGAGCCGGUGUGUCCCCCAGUAACAUUUGCAAAUGAAAGAAGGUAAUUCCCUCUGCAGCCCCCCGACAAGUGACCUUGCUCUUUUCUCCUUGGCCAGUGGGAAGCAAACUCAGGAGCUCUGGCCUUAGGAGAUGGGAGGAAGACUAAAGCAGCAGUUCUCAAAGUGUGAUCCGGGAGACCCUGCAGAUCCCAAGAUCCUUUCUAGAGUUUCGGUGGGAGAACUAGUUUUAGAAUUAUAGACGUCAUUUGCCUUUUAAACUCACAAUGGAAUUUUCCAGAGGCGACCUGAUGUCUAAUGAUGACACUGCUCUUAUGACCAAAGGAAUGUGAGCUCGUAUAUUCUUUUAGAAUUUCCUAAGGGAUGGGAUCUUGCUAAGUUGCCUAGGCUAGCCUCGAACUCCUGGCUUCAAGCACUCCUCCUGCCUCAGCCUCCCAAAGUGCUGGGAUGACAGGUGUGAGCUGCCAUGCCUGGCCGUUACAACUGUCUUGUGAAGCACUCAUGAAAGGUGGCCGGGUACCACUGUAUCAAUGGCCCAGUUGCCCAUCUCCUGGCGAGAGAUUUCCCUAAGUGACCUGGAAGUGUCACUAUUACCACCGCCCCACAUGAAUCUUGUGCUGGAGGCGACUAGAGCUGUGUGUCCCUCAGCAGAAGCAGGUGGCAUAAGCAAGAGUUCCAUUUUGGUUUCAUUUUCAGAGGACCCCAAUUGCGCAGUCUGCAAGAAAUAAUGUGCCUCUCAGGAUGGUUCCAAGCUGAGCCCAAAUCACUGAGGGAGAUUCACUGCUUGCUAACAUGAACUUUAUUCCUGGAUAAACAAGUCCCAAACCGUCUUGUCCAUAUGCCACCACGGUCAGGUCAAAACACACAUUAUCAGCUGGGUGCGGUGGCUCACGCUUGUAAUCCCAGCACUUCGGGAGGCCGAGGUGGGCGGAUCACUUGAGGUCAGGAGUUGGAGAUCAGCCUGGCCAACAUGGUGAAACCCCGUCUCUACUAAAAAUACAAAAAUUAGCCGGGCGUGGUGGUACGUGUCUGUAGUCCCAGGUACUCAGAAGGCUGAAGACAUGAGAAUCGCUUGAACCCAGGGGGCGGAGGUUGCUGAGCUGAGAUCAUGCCACUGCACUCGAGCCUGGACAACAGAGUGAGAUCCUAUGCCAAAAACAAACAAUAAAAACCAACAACAAAAAA
Molecule: long non-coding RNA, 1243 nt
Filed under: Homo sapiens (human)
Lineage: Eukaryota; Metazoa; Chordata; Mammalia; Primates; Hominidae
Description: SAT1 divergent transcript, transcript variant 4 (SAT1-DT)
Source: RNAcentral